RNAcentral lists this long non-coding RNA (270 nucleotides) under Mytilus galloprovincialis (Mediterranean mussel). Lineage: Eukaryota; Metazoa; Mollusca; Bivalvia; Mytilida; Mytilidae. The record is from RNAcentral.
UUUAUUCUUGAAACAAAUAGGUUGGUUUUCCAGCUUUCAGACAAUACAUUUUAUGUGCUUUAAGCAGUUUCCAUUAAACUUUGUUGACUGGUUUAUAUCUAUUAAGAUAACCUCCCUUUAGUUUUUCAUAAAUUUCUGAUGUGACAUUGAGAAGUUAUUGAACUUUAUUCUCUGAAAACGCGACAGGGGUAUCAUGCGCUCAUGACACAGCUGUUCAUUAUUAUUGUGUUUAAUUUUCAUUUGAAAACACUUUCAUAGUUCAACUUUUUU